GUGGGGAAUCUUGCGCAAUGGGCGAAAGCCUGACGCAGCCAUGCCGCGUGAAUGAUGAAGGUCUUAGGAUUGUAAAAUUCUUUCACCGGGGACGAUAAUGACGGUACCCGGAGAAGAAGCCCCGGCUAACUUCGUGCCAGCAGCCGCGGUAAUACGAAGGGGGCUAGCGUUGCUCGGAAUUACUGGGCGUAAAGGGCGCGUAGGCGGACAGUUUAGUCAGAGGUGAAAGUCCAGGGCUCAACCUUGGAAUUGCCUUUGAUACUGGCUGUCUUGAGUACGGGAGAGGUGAGUGGAACUCCGAGUGUAGAGGUGAAAUUCGUAGAUAUUCGGAAGAACACCAGUGGCGAAGGCGACUCACUGGCCCGUUACUGACGCUGAGGCGCGAAAGCGUGGGGAGCAAACAGGAUUAGAUACCCCAGUAGUCC
This 425-nucleotide ribosomal RNA is filed under the name uncultured bacterium. RNAcentral's name for it is "partial 16S ribosomal RNA". It matches the Rfam family "Bacterial small subunit ribosomal RNA", at positions 354 to 796 of the family's 1533-position model. The record is from RNAcentral.